RNAcentral lists this ribosomal RNA (255 nucleotides) under Clostridioides difficile. RNAcentral's name for it is "partial 23S ribosomal RNA". It matches the Rfam family "Bacterial large subunit ribosomal RNA", at positions 2105 to 2358 of the family's 2925-position model. The record is from RNAcentral. Lineage: Bacteria; Bacillati; Bacillota; Clostridia; Peptostreptococcales; Peptostreptococcaceae.
UGUAGCUUGACAUUGGGUCUUGGUACUACAUGUACAGGAUAGGUGGGAGGCUUUGAAACCAGGACGCCAGUUUUGGCGGAGCCAUCCUUGGGAUACCACCCUUGUAGUACUGGGACUCUAACCAUAGGCCAUGAAUCUGGUCUUGGGACACUGUCAGGUGGGCAGUUUGACUGGGGCGGUCGCCUCCCAAAAGGUAACGGAGGCGCUCAAAGGUUCUCUCAGUACGGUCGGAAAGCGUACGUAGAGUGUAAAGGC